RNAcentral lists this ribosomal RNA (253 nucleotides) under uncultured bacterium. RNAcentral describes it as "partial 16S ribosomal RNA". It matches the Rfam family "Bacterial small subunit ribosomal RNA", at positions 524 to 776 of the family's 1533-position model. The record is from RNAcentral.
UACGUAGGGACCAAGCGUUGUUCGGAUUUACUGGGCGUAAAGGGCGCGUAGGCGGCGCGGUAAGUCACUUGUGAAAUCUCUGAGCUUAACUCAGAACGGCCAAGUGAUACUGCAGUGCUAGAGUGUGGAAGGGGCAAUCGGAAUUCCCGGUGUAGCGGUGAAAUGCGUAGAGAUCGGGAGGAACACCAGAGGCGAAGGCGGCGACCUGGACAGAUACUGACACUAAACUACGAAAGCGUGGGGAGCAAACAGG